This 482-nucleotide ribosomal RNA is filed under the name uncultured bacterium. RNAcentral describes it as "partial 16S ribosomal RNA". It matches the Rfam family "Bacterial small subunit ribosomal RNA", at positions 30 to 507 of the family's 1533-position model. The record is from RNAcentral.
AUUGAACGCUGGCGGCAUGCCUUACACAUGCAAGUCGAACGGUAACGGGCCUUCGGGUGCCGACGAGUGGCGCACGGGUGAGUAAUACAUCGGAACGUGCCCGAUCGUGGGGGAUAACGAGGCGAAAGCUUUGCUAAUACCGCAUACGAUCUACGGAUGAAAGCAGGGGACCGCAAGGCCUUGCGCGGACGGAGCGGCCGAUGGCAGAUUAGGUAGUUGGUGGGAUAAAAGCAUACCAAGCCGACGAUCUGUAGCUGGUCUGAGAGGAUGAUCAGCCACACUGGGACUGAGACACGGCCCAGACUCCUACGGGAGGCAACAGUGGGGAAUUUUGGACAAUGGGCGCAAGCCUGAUCCAGCCAUGCCGCGUGCAGGAUGAAGGCCUUCGGGUUGUAAACUGCUUUUGUACGGAACGAAAAGCCUUCUUUUAAUACAGGAGGGUCAUGACGGUACCGUAAGAAUAAGCACCGGCUAACUACGUG